Pieris napi is the source of this 1316-nucleotide long non-coding RNA. RefSeq lists it as uncharacterized. The transcript has 4 exons. Lineage: Eukaryota; Metazoa; Arthropoda; Insecta; Lepidoptera; Pieridae. The record is from RefSeq and is a predicted model, not a curated record.
AAAUAACGAAUUUCAUCUGCAUUUAAUAUUAAUUAUGUGAUUAAACCAAGUUUUGUGUUGUUUUAAUCAAUUUUCUUACGUGUUUUAAUGGUCACCGUCUGUUUUUACAAUGUUACUGAGGGCUGUGCAUAACAUUGAUUUUCCGGAAUAUCCCGUGCAGUAUCAAGAUGGUGAUUGGGAAAGUAUUUUAAUUUUAUUAAUAUUUUACAAAGAACAAAGAGCCGUCAUCUCCAAGUUUACAAGCUACCAUGAUUCCGCGUCAUGACGCCAGCAGCCUCUGAGAUAGAUUUGCAGACAUUCAUUUCUUGGCUCCGAAUGAUUUCGGAGGCAGGAUUAUGACAUUCAUCAGGAUCCGACCCCUAUAACUUGUAUAUUAUUAAAAAUUUUGUGAUUUUUAUGUCAAAAUUCUAUUGACAUAUGUUCGCACCUAUUUUAAAUUUGACAAACGCUAUUAUAUUAGUGAAAUAAAAUUUAAUAUUGCUAGUCUUGCGUCUCUUUCAAUUGUGCUUGAGCUGUCUAGAAAGAGGUUUAAACUGUGUUGGGUGUGACUUCAGUAAUAUGUCAAUAAAAUUAAAACUAAUUUAUCAGCAAAUGUUAAAAAGUUAUUAUAAAAUCUAUAUAAACGCCGUUUGUUCAGUGGUAUUAAAAAAAAUCUAGAUAUUUCCAUUUGUCAAUAGUUUGGUGGAAGCAUUGUUAAGUCGGAAUCCAAAAUUGAAGUAGCCAUUUUGUUAUAAAACACGAGGAUGUCCUUAUUCUACGGAAAUUAUUGUCUGCGCAAGAGGGAUAGCAUUACCUUCUUUUUUUGCCUUAAAAAUUGAUUAUGCUUUCACGACUAUGUUCCCCGGGGUGUCAUGUACUAGUCUUUCAUUAACAGAUUACAGUGAUGCAGACAUACAUACAUAGUUGUGCCCUUGUCACUUUUCCUGCCCUGUGUGUUAUACUACUGGACGGAGAACUGAUAAGGGCAUAACUUGUAUAAUUACGACGAGAGAAGAGAAGAUCGGCUGAACAUUGCUGGAAUUUGCGCAACAAACGCUCGUGAUCACCUACUUGUAUAUUAAAUACAUACAGACAUUUGAGGCGCUAGAGUCACCAAAUAUAUAAAUAUGUGAAAUCAAUGAACGCGUCAGUUGAUGUACUAUCAAUUUUUUUUGUAACUCAAGUAUUUCCGAACCAAUUCUAGUGUGUACCAGUUAGUUUGCGAUACCGCACUUGUUUUGUAAAAAAAAUAAAUGAGAAAAAUUGUAGUAGAGAAUUAAACAAUAAAAAUUAAAAUAUUAAUUUUAUUAAAUUGUAUUAAACUAUUAUUUAUUUAA